This is an RNA transcript of Conger conger (European conger), 1232 nucleotides long. It is a transcript of the gene named hydroxysteroid (17-beta) dehydrogenase 12a, with no coding region annotated. The record is from RefSeq and is a predicted model, not a curated record. Lineage: Eukaryota; Metazoa; Chordata; Actinopteri; Anguilliformes; Congridae. The transcript has 11 exons.
GCGUGAUCUCAAACCUGGAAAGACUAUUGAGUUGUGUGAGUGUGAUGUUACAGCCUCGGCAUCUUUAGGGGUCCUCACGUUGCAUUCUGUAAAUUAUUUUACUUAAUUUAAUUUUGAACACUCACAUUACUCGUGAAAAGCCGUUGUCAUGCAAUCUUUCGACAUGGAGGCCUUGCUACGUCUUGCCGAAGUGCCACUGUAUUGGGUCGGUGUUUUCACCGCGGCCUGGCUGUCUUUGUGGGUAGUGUACAAAUUGCUCUUCGGGUUUCGGAUAUGGGUUCUAGGCAAUGGGCAGCUGAUUUCAACGAAGCUUGGAAAAUGGGCAGUUGUGACGGGAGCCACGGACGGCAUUGGGAAAGCCUAUGCGGAAGAGCUGGCUCGGCGGGGUUUCAACAUCGCGUUGAUCAGUCGCUCUCAGGAGAAGCUGGACGACGUGUCGGGGUCCCUCGAGAGCAAGUUCAACGUGGAGACCAAGACGAUCGCUGUGGAUUUUGGAUUGCUGGACAUUUACCCCAAGAUCGAGGCGGGACUGGCGGGGCUGGAGGUCGGGGUGCUGGUGAACAAUGUUGGGAUUUCAUACACGUACCCGGAGUUCUUCCUCGAGAUCCCUGAUCUGGACAAUUUUAUCAACACCAUGAUCAAUGUCAACAUCACCUCAGUUUGCCAGAUGACCCGCCUGGUCCUGCCCCGGAUGGUGGAGAGGUCUCGGGGCGUGGUUCUAAACAUCUCCUCUGCCAGCGGCAUGUACCCUGUUCCCCUCCUCACCAUCUACUCCUCCACCAAGGCCUUCGUGGACUUCUUCUCACGAGGACUCAAUGCUGAGUAUAAGAGCAGAGGCAUCAUCAUCCAGCUGGUGUGCCGGCGCCCUCCGGUGGCAGCUCUGAGCACCGCGUGUGGGUUUUGGCCAGGCCAGCUAACCGGCUCCCCCUCUCUGCCCACAGAGCGUGCUCCCUUUCUUUGUGGCCACAAAGAUGACGAAGAUCAGGAAGCCCACCUUGGACAAGCCCACCCCGGAGCGCUACGUCGCUGCUGAGCUGACCACUGUGGGCCUGGAGAGCCAGACCAACGGCUACUUCCCCCACGCGGUCAUGGGCUGGAUCAGUGCCGUUUUCUCCCCCGUGUGGAUCGUGCUCUACUUCGGCAUGGCCAUGGGCAAGGCCCAGCGCGCCGGGUACCUGAGGAGGAGGAAGCAGCGCUAAGCGCUAACGCCGCCACCACCACCACCGCCCGCC